RNAcentral lists this ribosomal RNA (303 nucleotides) under uncultured bacterium. Its description in RNAcentral is "bacterial SSU rRNA". It matches the Rfam family "Bacterial small subunit ribosomal RNA", at positions 44 to 334 of the family's 1533-position model. The record is from RNAcentral.
GUGCCCAACACAUGCAAGUCGAACGCGAAUAUCCCGCAAGGGAUUAGUAGAGUGGCAAACGGGUGAGUAACACGUGGGUGACCUGCCUUCGAGUGGGGGAUAACGUCCCGAAAGGGACGCUAAUACCGCAUGACAUCCUGCCUUUGAACAGGUGGAGAUCAAAGCUGGGGAUCGCAAGACCUAGCGCUUGAAGAGGGGCCCGCGUCCGAUUAGCUAGUUGGUGAGGUAACGGCUCACCAAGGCGACGAUCGGUAGCCGGCCUGAGAGGGCGGACGGCCACACUGGGACUGAGACUCGGCCCAG